This 1273-nucleotide unclassified non-coding RNA is filed under the name Hevea brasiliensis (rubber tree). Lineage: Eukaryota; Viridiplantae; Streptophyta; Magnoliopsida; Malpighiales; Euphorbiaceae. The record is from RNAcentral.
AUUCUCCAAAAUUGGAGUAUGAUCCAAUUGAGAAUGUUCAUUUCCCCUACCAAGAGAGGGAAAAGACUCUCUUUCAUGUAAUAAAAGCUUCUUAUUUAACACUGGAUCAGAGCAAAGAACAAAUGGAAAGCAAUCUUGACCAUCUUUUGUACUCCACUGGACUACUUUUUUCAGGAAAUUCAGAGAAGAAUUUGCUGAUAUUCCUCCUAAUAUACCAACAGUAUUUGCUUGACUAACCAACGAAUCAGAAGAGCCACUGCCAUUCUCAUCUGUGUGCAAGACAGUUGAUGAUGAGGGUAUGGCUAGAACUGGCUUCAACCUUGCCUUACGUGUUUUAUGAGAAUUUACAUGACUGAAUGCAUAAGAUGGGUAAUUCAACGCGUAGAACAUCUCAUAAACCAAAAAAAAGAAAAUAAAGCAGCGAACAAGCUUGAAAGAAUUUCUCAAUCAACGCCCAGGAAUCACAAGCCACUUCUAAAUUCUGCCAUACUAGCUUCUGGAAAUUUUUGCAACUAAAGAAUUUUGACAAAAUUUCUAUUCUUCCCUCAGAAAUCACACAUCCAAACAAACUUCUCUCUCAAUUUUUUUUCCUUCCAAAGGAAAAUCCCUGCCCCCAAAAGAGGUAAUAAUCACAAAUUACCAAUCCUCCUUAGCCCUUAAACAGUUAAAACCCCAAUAUUUAGUUGGGUUUCCAAAUUAACUGCAUGUUAGCAGUAACCCACUUCCAGAACAGCAAAACCCUUCAUUGGGUUGCCAAAAAGAAUACCAAGGAAGUUACAGCAAAGCAAUCUACAGAUACUCCCCCCAUAUUUGAGAAAAAAUGUCAAAACCAAACUGCAAACCCAAAAAUUUUCUCCACGUUUCUAUAAUUGAAGCCACAAACAAUAAGAACCCAACUUGAAUAUCGAAAUGAACAAAAGGCAAGUGGGACUGGCGAGAGCGAGUAAAGAAAACAGACCUCCAAGGUUUUAGGUUUCUUUUUUCUUUUAUUUUAUGAUUACCAACCAAACAAAGAUGGACCCAACAGUCAUGGCAAUUGGCAAGUGGGGAGGAAUAUACCAUAAUAUACUAUAAACUGACUCUGGUUAAAACAAGAAAUCACUGAAACAGAAGACAAAAACACUGAAAUGAAAAACACGUGUUCUUGCCAGUCGAUUACCUUAUCCAGAAUCGGCAACUAGUUUGGAAAAUUGAGCACUUGGGUACGCUUAAUCUGCCAUAGAAUGAAUUUCUAGUUCAUCCUCGCAUCAAUUAGCUAGGGCAGGUUACUAAA